RNAcentral lists this long non-coding RNA (1167 nucleotides) under Malus domestica (apple). RNAcentral's name for it is "long non-coding RNA (MDOM_LNC007570)". Lineage: Eukaryota; Viridiplantae; Streptophyta; Magnoliopsida; Rosales; Rosaceae. The record is from RNAcentral.
UUAAAGAGACAAAACCAUUUUGUUCUCAACCUAAUUUGGGCCAAAAUGCAAUAACCUCAACUUUUGGGCUAUAUUGCAAAACAUAAACUUUUGAGGUCACUUUGUAAAAACACAAAAGUCCACUACUUCAUGUAAUUACAACUAGAACCCAAAAAUUUCAACAAAUUCAAAAACUUCAUUAAAGGAACAAAACAAUUUGUCCUUUAGUGAUUUUGGGCCUUUACGUAAGAAACGUAAACUUUUGGGUCAAACUACAAAUACACAAAAGUAUCAAAACUUUAUGUAAUUGCAUAAAAGCCCCAAAAGUACCCUACUUGUAGGGUGGCCGGUUUUGGUGAGAGUGAAGCCAUAAAAUUUUGAAUUUUUUUUCAACAAAGUCAUAAAGCCAUGCAAGUGGAAAUUGGUUGGUGGGAAACAUGUGUGUAAGAAAAAAAUCAAUUAUGUACAUAAAUUCAAACACUCUAUCAACAUUUCAAUCACCUUUUCAAAUAAAUGUCUUGUUGAUAGAAAAUUCACACAAACCAACACAAAACAAAGACUUUAUGAAAUCAACCAAAACUUUGAAUCAAAACACCAAACUUUUUGUUCUUGGUAAGAACCUCAAGAACAAUGAAGAACAUUCAUGAAAACCCAUAAAAUUUCCAUGAACAUUUUCACUCAAUAAAACUCAAAUUUUCACUACUCAAAAUGGGGUUAACAUCCUAGGGUACUUAGGGGUUCCAAAAAUCACCUUAAAACACUUUUAACAAGACAAACAAGAACCCAAAAAUCCACCCUUUGGAUUUGGCCGAAUUUCCCCAAAAACAUGGCACCAAAUUUUAGCUCCAAAAUUCAUGCUCAUAUGAACUACAUCUACAACAUUUGAGAUGGCAAAUUUUCUAACAAAAUUUACAUUCAAAGAAGCAAGAAUAAAGCUUGUAACAAUUACAACAUUCAAAUCAAAGACUAUGAACUACAAAACCCAAAAGGAUUCACCAACUACUAGACCUACGCUUUGAUACCACUUGAAGGAAAUUUUGUGAAAAACAUGUUCAUUUGAGCAACAUCUAUAUACCAUGCAAUUAACAAUUAAAGGCGGAAACAUGCUUGUAUGUGAUAGGAGCAUAUUUAUACGACUUAGUUAGCUUGUUUUCUUGCUUUUAAUUAGCUAAACUAUGAUAAUUAUAG